ACACGACUCUCGGCAACGGAUAUCUAGGCUCUCGCAUCGAUGAAGAACGUAGCAAACUGCGAUACUUGGUGUGAAUUGCAGAAUCCCGUGAACCAUCGAGUCUUUGAACGCAAGUUGCGCCCGAAGCCAUUAGGCGAGGGCACGUCUGCCUGGGCGUCACGCAUCGCGU
This 169-nucleotide ribosomal RNA is filed under the name Hoya cominsii. RNAcentral describes it as "5.8S ribosomal RNA". It matches the Rfam family "5.8S ribosomal RNA". Rfam says of the family: 5.8S ribosomal RNA (5.8S rRNA) is a component of the large subunit of the eukaryotic ribosome. Lineage: Eukaryota; Viridiplantae; Streptophyta; Magnoliopsida; Gentianales; Apocynaceae. The record is from RNAcentral.